Molecule: ribosomal RNA, 1077 nt
Filed under: Enterococcus faecium
Lineage: Bacteria; Bacillati; Bacillota; Bacilli; Lactobacillales; Enterococcaceae
Description: bacterial SSU rRNA
Rfam family: Bacterial small subunit ribosomal RNA
Source: RNAcentral
GGGAAUGCGGGGCUAUACAUGCAAGUCGAACGCUUCUUUUUCCACCGGAGCUUGCUCCACCGGAAAAAGAGGAGUGGCGAACGGGUGAGUAACACGUGGGUAACCUGCCCAUCAGAAGGGGAUAACACUUGGAAACAGGUGCUAAUACCGUAUAACAAUCGAAACCGCAUGGUUUUGAUUUGAAAGGCGCUUUCGGGUGUCGCUGAUGGAUGGACCCGCGGUGCAUUAGCUAGUUGGUGAGGUAACGGCUCACCAAGGCCACGAUGCAUAGCCGACCUGAGAGGGUGAUCGGCCACAUUGGGACUGAGACACGGCCCAAACUCCUACGGGAGGCAGCAGUAGGGAAUCUUCGGCAAUGGACGAAAGUCUGACCGAGCAACGCCGCGUGAGUGAAGAAGGUUUUCGGAUCGUAAAACUCUGUUGUUAGAGAAGAACAAGGAUGAGAGUAACUGUUCAUCCCUUGACGGUAUCUAACCAGAAAGCCACGGCUAACUACGUGCCAGCAGCCGCGGUAAUACGUAGGUGGCAAGCGUUGUCCGGAUUUAUUGGGCGUAAAGCGAGCGCAGGCGGUUUCUUAAGUCUGAUGUGAAAGCCCCCGGCUCAACCGGGGAGGGUCAUUGGAAACUGGGAGACUUGAGUGCAGAAGAGGAGAGUGGAAUUCCAUGUGUAGCGGUGAAAUGCGUAGAUAUAUGGAGGAACACCAGUGGCGAAGGCGGCUCUCUGGUCUGUAACUGACGCUGAGGCUCGAAAGCGUGGGGAGCAAACAGGAUUAGAUACCCUGGUAGUCCACGCCGUAAACGAUGAGUGCUAAGUGUUGGAGGGUUUCCGCCCUUCAGUGCUGCAGCUAACGCAUUAAGCACUCCGCCUGGGGAGUACGACCGCAAGGUUGAAACUCAAAGGAAUUGACGGGGGCCCGCACAAGCGGUGGAGCAUGUGGUUUAUUUCGAAGCAACGCGAAGAACCUUACCAGGUCUUGACAUCCUUUGACCACUCUAGAGAUAGAGCUUCCCCUUCGGGGGCAAAGUGACAGGUGGUGCAUGGUUGUCGUCAGCUCGUGUCGUGAGAUGUUGGGUUAAG